This 253-nucleotide ribosomal RNA is filed under the name uncultured bacterium. RNAcentral describes it as "partial 16S ribosomal RNA". It matches the Rfam family "Bacterial small subunit ribosomal RNA", at positions 524 to 776 of the family's 1533-position model. The record is from RNAcentral.
UACGUAGGGGGCAAGCGUUGUCCGGAAUUAUUGGGCGUAAAGAGCGCGUAGGCGGUCCGAUAAGUCGGCUGUGAAAGUCAAGGGCUCAACCCUUGAAAGCCGGCCGAUACUGUCGGACUAGAGUCCGGAAGAGGCGAGUGGAAUUCCCGGUGUAGCGGUGAAAUGCGCAGAUAUCGGGAGGAACACCUAUUGCGAAGGCAGCUCGCUGGGACGUUACUGACGCUGAGACGCGAAAGCGUGGGGAGCAAACAGG